AUUCGAAUCCGAAACCUGCUGAUUGAGCAACCGAACCACUGGUCCAUGUUGAAUCCACGCUUGUGUAAUUUGCGCAACUCCACGACGCCUGCAAUACAUGAUAAAUUUCAUUACUUGAAACUGGUCUGAGAGAGGGAGACUAGAUCGAGAGUAUGUCAUUCUUCUGCUUACAUUCAGGGCCUUUUAAUAUUUUGUCGAGUCGGUCCAAUCAUAACAUUACCCCGCGAGUCUCCUUGCAUGCGUAAUGUUUACAUUCGUUCAGAUCGGCGAGGCCUCACAACAUUCAGUCUCCCUAUCUUUGAAUUAUUAUUGCUGUAACACUUAGAUUAAUAACAUUGGUUACGCAAUUUAUUUUGACGUUGACCUGUAGGGUAUAUACAGGUAUCACUGGAAAUGGAUAGAUGGGACUACAUCGUAUUCAUUCAGGGCAUGUUUGGAUGAUGAGGUUGUUUUGGAGUUUGACGUGGUUUUCAGGUCAUUUGUAAUUGAGGAAGUUUCAUGCGGUGGACUUGUAUUCGGAAUACACACAAAGUGGGUUGGCCUGAUCAGUUUUGGAAAAGUACUUCACAAAGACAUCACGCAGUUGAACGAAACAUCAACAUGAAAGUACAAAAUAAGUUCGUGAUGCGUCCAGACUGACCAAUCAGUGAUCGCCAUCUCAGAGAGCGCCGUGUCACGCGGAGGAAUAUGGACCGGCCUCAGGGUUCCGUUGAAAAAUACCGGGGGUACGUGAUGCUAAAAAGCAACGGGUAUAAAUAAAAUAAACCCACAUUCUCUUUAUCUGUCUAUGUGCUGAUGACAAAUGCCAAUGGGCUCUAGACCAACACAAAGAGAAAGGUGUGCUCAUUACACAUUUUCAUGGAAUGUAUACAAACUUCAGGUGUAUCUGUGUACCGCAGGUAUAUCACGUGGAAUACAUUCUUCAUCGCAAACAACUUACACUAUAAUGACUUGAUAUACAAUCAAUAUUUCUUUGUGUGAGUAAAUGGAGAAUUGUGUUGGUGUGUGUGUAAUUUAUCGGACAUUAUUUCAAAAUCAAUUUUAGAAUAGAAGGAUCAAGAAAAGAAAAUAGCUAUUAAAAUGGGGAAAGUAGGGCGGCACUUGCAAAAAUGGGAAACAGUAAAAUUAUGACAAGGUUAAGUUUGUAAGUCUUUAUUUACUUUCAAUAUAUGUAAUGCUUCUCCCGUGAGCUUGUUAUAUUCAAAAUUGUU
Lytechinus variegatus (green sea urchin) is the source of this 1211-nucleotide long non-coding RNA. RefSeq lists it as uncharacterized. The transcript is spliced from 3 exons. Lineage: Eukaryota; Metazoa; Echinodermata; Echinoidea; Temnopleuroida; Toxopneustidae. The record is from RefSeq and is a predicted model, not a curated record.